Long non-coding RNA from Mauremys reevesii (Reeves's turtle), 568 nucleotides. RefSeq lists it as uncharacterized. The record is from RefSeq and is a predicted model, not a curated record. NCBI's taxonomy places the organism in Eukaryota, Metazoa, Chordata, Testudines, Geoemydidae. The transcript is spliced from 3 exons.
CACAAGUAAUUAGCCAGGAGGGCUAGUACAGGCUCUUCUGAAGUGUGUGCUGCUGCAGUUUGUUUCACUGUUCCAGUACCCAAGCUUGUUAGGUUAAAGCUAGCUCAGAUGGUUCAUGCUUCCUCCUUUGAGUAGUCUAUAUCUCUGGUUUCACUUCUGCCCGUAUCUGGCUCUCCCCUGUUGCAGAGAGGAAGUAGAUGCUGGCUAUAUGAGACUUCCACCGUCUGAUACUGCAGUGAGUAGUCUGCUUUCAGGAACCUCGUGGAAUGGAAAGGGCAUUGGCAAUUCUAGCAAGUACCUCCUACAAGACCACAUUCCAUGGGAGCCACUACAUGCCUGCCAUAUGCAGAGGAAACAUUCCGGUUACUUUGACAUCCUGCUUGCAUGUAUCAUUAUUGUGGGAACUCACCAAGUAUUAGAUGGUCACAGGACUUUAAGAUACAUCGGCAUCAAUAUCUGCUGUGGUUGCCAUAGUGACUUUUGUUUCCCCCCUUCUCCCCUGCUCUGUUGUCCCUGAUCUUUGAAGAGAGAGGAUUCUGGUGGUUUCAAUCAACCACUGGGCAAGAAG